This 468-nucleotide ribosomal RNA is filed under the name uncultured bacterium. RNAcentral describes it as "partial 16S ribosomal RNA". It matches the Rfam family "Bacterial small subunit ribosomal RNA", at positions 28 to 507 of the family's 1533-position model. The record is from RNAcentral.
GACGAACGCUGGCGGCGUGCUUAACACAUGCAAGUCGAACGGAAAGGCCCUGCUUUUGUGGGGUGCUCGAGUAGCGAACGGGUGAGUAACACGUGAGUAACCUGCCCUUGACUUUGGGAUAACUCCAGGAAACUGGGGCUAAUACCGGAUAGGAGCUCCUGCUGCAUGGUGGGGGUUGGAAAGUUUCGGCGGUUGGGGAUGGACUCGCGGCUUAUCAGCUUGUUGGUGGGGUAGUGGCUUACCAAGGCUUUGACGGGUAGCCGGCCUGAGAGGGUGACCGGCCACAUUGGGACUGAGAUACGGCCCAGACUCCUACGGGAGGCAGCAGUGGGGAAUAUUGCACAAUGGGCGGAAGCCUGAUGCAGCAACGCCGCGUGCGGGAUGACGGCCUUCGGGUUGUAAACCGCUUUCGCCUGUGACGAAGCGUGAGUGACGGUAAUGGGUAAAGAAGCACCGGCUAACUACGUG